CCCUUAGAUGUUCUGGGUCGCACGCGCGCUACACUGUUUGAUUCAGCGAGUCUUAACCUUGACCGAAAGGUUUGGGUAAUCUUCUAAAGUCAAACGUGAUGGGGAUCGAUCAUUGCAAUUAUUGAUCGUGAACGAGGAAUUCCUAGUAAAUGCAAGUCAUCAGCUUGCGUUGAUUACGUCCCUGCCCUUUGUACACACCGCCCGUCGCUACUACCGAUUGAAUGGUUUAGUGAGAUCUCCGGAUUGGCUCUGUAGGUCCCGCAAGGGAUUUAUUAGUAGCCAAGAAGCUGCUCAAACUUGAUCAUUUAGAGGAAGUAAAAGUCGUAACA
Molecule: ribosomal RNA, 329 nt
Filed under: uncultured eukaryote
Lineage: Eukaryota
Description: partial 18S ribosomal RNA
Rfam family: Eukaryotic small subunit ribosomal RNA
Source: RNAcentral